RNAcentral lists this ribosomal RNA (253 nucleotides) under uncultured bacterium. RNAcentral's name for it is "partial 16S ribosomal RNA". It matches the Rfam family "Bacterial small subunit ribosomal RNA", at positions 524 to 776 of the family's 1533-position model. The record is from RNAcentral.
UACGUAGGGUGCGAGCGUUAAUCGGAAUUACUGGGCGUAAAGCGUGCGUAGGCGGUUGGCAAAGUCAGCUGUGAAAGCCCCGGGCUUAACCUGGGAAUGGCGGUUGAAACUAGUCGACUCGAAUCUGGCAGAGGGGGGUGGAAUUCCACGUGUAGCAGUGAAAUGCGUAGAGAUGUGGAGGAACACCGAUGGCGAAGGCAGCCUCCUGGGCUAGUACUGACGCUCAUGCACGAAAGCGUGGGGAGCAAACAGG